CGGACGGGUGAGUAAUGUCUGGGAAACUGCCUGAUGAGGGGGAUAACUACUGGAAACGGUAGCUAAUACCGCAUAACGUCGCAAGACCAAAGAGGGGGACCUUCGGGCCUCUUGCCAUCGGAUGUGCCCAGAUGGGAUUAGCUAGUAGGUGGGGUAACGGCUCACCUAGGUGACGAUCCCUAGCUGGUCUGAGAGGAUGACCAGCCACACUGGAACUGAGACACGGUCCAG
RNAcentral lists this ribosomal RNA (231 nucleotides) under uncultured bacterium. RNAcentral's name for it is "partial 16S ribosomal RNA". It matches the Rfam family "Bacterial small subunit ribosomal RNA", at positions 99 to 334 of the family's 1533-position model. The record is from RNAcentral.